This 330-nucleotide long non-coding RNA is filed under the name Pan troglodytes (chimpanzee). Its description in RNAcentral is "long non-coding RNA NONPTRT008595". The record is from RNAcentral. Lineage: Eukaryota; Metazoa; Chordata; Mammalia; Primates; Hominidae.
GAGAUGCUGCAAACUUAUGGCUAAGGGGUGCCCAGUCAGUGGUUGCUUCACUCAGUGCUGGGUGCCAGGGUCAGUGCUCACACAAUGAAGAUGACACAGAAGGAGAGGAAGACCAGGGCUGUGGCUCCAGCUCCCCCGACCGCCCCCAGCAACACUCCUGAUACAGGCCUCAUUUUGCCUGAGGAUGGAUUGGAAUUGUUUUGGUGAUCCAACUCCAAGAACUGGGUCUCUUCUCCUCCCACUUCCUAUAAGGCCCCCCACUUGGGUACCCUAAUCCCCCUUCCCAGAAACAAAGGGCAAGAAUGGGAGGGAGGAGGAAGGGACAACUCC